This 465-nucleotide ribosomal RNA is filed under the name uncultured bacterium. RNAcentral's name for it is "partial 16S ribosomal RNA". It matches the Rfam family "Bacterial small subunit ribosomal RNA", at positions 28 to 507 of the family's 1533-position model. The record is from RNAcentral.
GACGAACGCUGGCGGCGUGCUUAACACAUGCAAGUCGAACGGAAAGGCCCCUUUGGGGGUACUCGAGUGGCGAACGGGUGAGUAACACGUGAGUAACCUGCCCUUGACUUCGGGAUAACUUCAGGAAACUGGGGCUAAUACCGGAUAGGAAUCCUUGCUGCAUGGUGGGGGUUGGAAAGCUUCGGCGGUUUUGGAUGGACUCGCGGCUUAUCAGCUUGUUGGUGGGGUAGUGGCUUACCAAGGCUUUGGCGGGUAGCCGGCCUGAGAGGGCGACCGGCCACAUUGGGACUGAGAUACGGCCCAGACUCCUACGGGAGGCAGCAGGGGGGAAGAUUGAACAAGGGGCGGAAGCCUGAUGCAGCAACGCCGCGGGCGGGAGGACGGCCUUCGGGUUGUAAACCGCUUUCAGCAGGGGCGAAGCUUGUGGUGACGGUACCUGCAGAAGAAGCACCGGCUAACUACGUG